GCGCGCGCAGGGGCACUGGUUACGGACCGGCACAUAUUUACCAAGCGACAAAACAAACGGCAGUCGUGUAAGUUUCAGGGCGCGAUUCCAGGACGCGUGAAAUAUGUUAUUGGUUUCUGGGUCUCUGAAGGCUAAAAUACGUGAAGCUGGUUUUUUUUCCUCUAGUGCGACGGGAAGCACUUUCGAUCGCAAUAUCGACUCUUCAUUUUUAGCAUAAACCUCGGUCAGGGCAGGGGUCCAUCUCUACAGAAGAGCAUUUACCCAGUUAUGGCAAAUGUGUUCCUGUCAGCAGAGACAGCCAAUGGCUUGCUCCGGAGGCUGCCCAGGGCUAACAGUCUGCUGGAGGAGAUUAAGCAGGGCAACAUCCAGAGGGAAUGCAGAGAGGAGAUCUGCUCCUACGAGGAGGCGCGGGAGGCCUUUGAGAACGAUGACAAAACCAGGAGAUUCUGGGAAGAGUACGUCCGCGAGAGCAACGGCCCCGGAGGCCUGGAUGUGUCCGGGAUUCAGUCCCUGUACCUGAUCCUGCCCUUGGUGGUGGGACUGCUGCUCGUUGUUGUGGUGAUGGUUGCAGUGUGGAAGUGCCAGUCACGCAAGCACCUCCAGAGAGGCUCAGUCCAUGGGAACUCCCAAAGAGACCCUAACUUGUCCCAUGUGAACUUAGACCCACAGAAUCGGGGUUACCAGCCGGAGCUUAGGCCAAACUUAGCACCACCGCCUGGGCAGUCGAGUGUUGGGGACCCACCCCCAUCCUAUGAGGAGGCCGUGGGGCAAUCAGAUGUGCGUGUCCAUGUGGAGCCUCCCCCCCAGUAUGAGGACAUUGUCAGCAGGAGCUCAGAAAUCCAUGUGAAGUGACACCUGUCCCAUUCACAGGCAUCGGCAGGAAGAUGUGUGUACCAGGUACAGUUUUAUCGAAAUGCAAGGAGUGACAGUGUAGGUGGAGACUGCAAUAACCGCAAUAAUCACUCUAAUAUUCUAAUCUGUGAACUGCUCUCAUUAAAACAGGGCUGCCACCGCAUCGCUCUUAGGGUCAUGUGGUUUGGCUGAAUGUGUGUAUGUGUGCGUGUGAGAUACAGCAAGGAAAAGUUUAAUACAGCUUGUACUGUAAAAUCAGACUGCAUUAAUACCGGUUUGGUUGCUAUCAAUGAACCAUCCUUUGGUCAUAUUUGGUGUUUUCUUCACUGUUAUUGCAAACCAGGCUACCUGACCGCCUCCAUUCACAUUGUAUAGCAAUCCCUUUCUGCAUGGAAAGACCAUUUAUGAAAUAUUCGGUAGUUUCAUUUCCAAAGCUUCUAUUUGCACAAAAAGUGUACAGCUUUUGGGCCACCUUAACCCAUAACACUGCUUCGUUGCCAUUCCUAUUUGAAGGAGUACUUACAUGGGUCCAUUUUUAUUCCAUUUCUUUUACAUGUUUUCAUUUGUGUAUUAAAUGCUUUUAUUGGAUAUAUUGCAAUUGAUGAAAUGAGUGCAGGCUCUGCCAUAAUGUCAGUAAAGUCUUGGGGCUUUCACAAGACUAACAGCUAUAUGCAAAUAUGUAACAAAUCACAAAUUUAUUGCUGCUGUAGCAGCUCCUAAUGUAAUACCAAUAUAUUUCAUAGCAAAUAUUAAAAUUCACUCUAAUAAACAUCUGAUAGUCUAAUAUAAUCCUCAUCUGAUAAGGAUGAUGAUUAUUACAUUAUGAGUUACAACAUGUUAACAUACAUGCAGAGAAAUAAAAGUACAUCUGAGGAAGCAAGAUAAGAUGAAGCAAGGGAAUGUCUAAGGGAUGGUCUACCAGCAACUUAAUGUCCACUGUAUACGAAAGGCCUUCCAGCAACUUAAUGUCCACUGUAUACGAAAGGCCUUCCAGCAACUUAAUGUCCACUGUAUACGAAAGGCCUUCCAGCAACUUAAUGUCCAGUGCAUAAGAAAGGUCUACCAGCAACCUAAUGUCCACUGCAUAAGAAAGGUCUACCAGCAACCUAAUGUCCACUGCAUAAGAAAGGUCUACCAGCAACCUAAUGUCCACUGCAUAAGAAUUGUCUUCCUGCAAACUAAUGUCCACUGCUUAAGAAAUGUCUUCCUGCACUAAUGUCAGCUGCUUAAGAAAGGUACAGCAGCAACAGUACACCAUUAAAAAGACUCCCAAUUUUACCAUUAAGUGCAAAUUCUGCUUUUGCUGGAUUGUGUCUGAAGUUUUAUCGGCAGUGAAUCCCAAAGUAUCGAGUCAGUGCUGUAUGAAGUUGUCUGUACAAACUGCUUAUGAUGGAGUGUGGUUUUAAACUUUAUGGUCAAUUGGAAUUUGGUCUGCUGGAGCCAGGAGGAGUGCAGUUUUAAAGGGGCCAUAUGUACGUUCUCAGUUACCGCUUAACUGUUUACUAAUUGCUGUAUACUCAUUGUCUAUGCACAAUGUACAAACAAUUUCUGUGCUUAACAUUGAUGUACUGUUUACUCACUAUUGUCUAAUCCUGGACUAUAUACAGUUUAUUCAUUGUUUACUUACUGUUUUACUAUGUGUUUAUUGUCUAGUUUUUUUCCAUUCUAAUACCUGAACUGUAAAUGUAUUGUCACUCUGUGAAGAGGAGCACUGAAACCUUAUUGGAAAUACUAAUACACUUUGGGUGCUACGUCCUGUAUCACAGAUCUUUGUUCAAUCUUACGUGUUAAUUUUUUAUACAUUAGACAUUUUAAGGAGCAGAAGGAUACCUUUUCAGAUUGGUUUGUUUUCAGUUUCUGAUAACUUUUCAGCAUAUGUCUGACACAUUAGCCAUUGGCUAAUAGCCAUAACCACCACACUGAAAGCUGCAAUCGCUUUUGAACUGCAAGGUCUGCCUUCUGUGUGUUAAGUUAUUAAAUGCAGGAUGGUAACUAAAACUGUCACAUUUAAACAUUUUAAUUGCAGCUAACAAAUGAAAGAUGAAAUAGGAUUCUUAUUUGCCUUAAAGAAAUUAACUGUUUAAAAUGUUGUACUAACAGCAUCUAUAUAAAUUCAAUAGCAAGCAGUUUUCAAGCUGUGAUAUAGGACUGAAAGGGUUUGAAUGGAUUUACUUAUUUCUUUGUUGCUUGUGUUGUGGAUGAAGGAUGUCCUUUAAAUAAUUUGAAUUAUAUAUAAAUGACAUUAACACAUAUAACUAUUUCAUUAUAUGAAAUCCUUAUUAUCUAUUAAUCAUAUAUAACCUGUUAUGAUGAUGUUUAUGCCAAUCUCAAAAGUGUUAAAUGGAAGUUGUGUAUAUAUCAUAUAUAUAUAACAUCUGUAUAUUAUUCUACGACCUCUGAAUGGUUUCCUGAAACAUUACCACGUCUGUAUGAAUCACAUUGUUUGUCCUUCCUGCAGGAAAGAUGCAAAUUUCAGGUAAAGGCACUGAUAUGGUUGUACAAAGAAUGGCAUGUAAUUUCAGUCUUUAGCAUAAUGCAGUCACGUCAAAGUAAUGAGGAUUAUUAUAAGGUGUUGUAAAUAGCAGAUGUGCUUAGUGCAUUGCUCGAUACCAGGAACGACCGGUCACAUUUUUCCCUACCUUUUGAAAACUGACUAUGAUAGAGGUUGAAUAUAAGAGUAUAUUGAGGAAUGGGUUAGGGUACUUUUCUGCUUCCAGUGCUCAUGGAUGACUGGUAACAUUUUUUUUAUCAAGGACCUGAGAAGCGUCCCACUUCUCCUUGCUUUCCACCAUGGGAGUGCAUGUGUGCAUGUGGACAAGUGCCUUUCACUUAUAAUGUGUGAUCAAACAGGAAAUAUAGGGUGUCACUUGUGUGAAAAUGUGCAGUGCUCUAAUCUAUUUCUAAUAAAAGCAUUUGUUGAGA
Non-coding RNA from Paramormyrops kingsleyae, 3774 nucleotides. The record is from RefSeq and is a predicted model, not a curated record. Lineage: Eukaryota; Metazoa; Chordata; Actinopteri; Osteoglossiformes; Mormyridae.